AGCCAUCAUUCAACUCCUAAUCAGUUGGUUGUGGUUAGCAGGUUGCCAGUGUUGACGCACUGACAACUUGCGAU
Molecule: small RNA, 74 nt
Filed under: Xenorhabdus vietnamensis
Lineage: Bacteria; Pseudomonadati; Pseudomonadota; Gammaproteobacteria; Enterobacterales; Morganellaceae
Also listed under: 1 other name
Description: symR
Source: RNAcentral